Molecule: long non-coding RNA, 235 nt
Organism: Ceratina calcarata
Lineage: Eukaryota; Metazoa; Arthropoda; Insecta; Hymenoptera; Apidae
Exons: 3
Source: RefSeq, a predicted model, not a curated record
UUAUACUACUGUUAGAUAACGCUAAGACAAAUGCUUUGGAUCCCCAUGAAGUAGUGAUCGUGAUAUUGGAUCAGAAUGAUGGCUAUCACAUAGCACAUGCCGAAAUGUUGAAAAAGGAUAUUCUUGAGCAAGCAAAUUCUCUUGACAAGGUUCCUCCAACAGUGAUUUUGUCGCAUAAUUUGAACAUUAAUGGCUCCUGGACAAUAAUACCGCUUCUAGAUCAUUUAUUAGACAC